GCUAGGAUGGUUGAGUGGUCUAAGGCGCUAGACUCAAGUUUUGGUCCUCUUACGAGGGGUGUGGGUUCAAACCCCACUUCUGACA
This 85-nucleotide transfer RNA is filed under the name Brachypodium distachyon (stiff brome). It matches the Rfam family "tRNA". Rfam says of the family: Transfer RNA (tRNA) molecules are approximately 80 nucleotides in length. The record is from Rfam by way of RNAcentral. Lineage: Eukaryota; Viridiplantae; Streptophyta; Magnoliopsida; Poales; Poaceae.